AACGAACGCUGGCGGCAGGCCUAACACAUGCAAGUCGAGCGCGCCCUUCGGGGUGAGCGGCGGACGGGUGAGUAACGCGUGGGAACGUGCCCUUUUCUACGGAAUAGCCUCGGGAAACUGAGAGUAAUACCGUAUAAGUCAUUUGGGGGAAAGAUUUGUCGGAAAAGGAUCGGCCCGCGUUGGUUUAGGUAGUUGGUGGGGUAAGGGCCUACCAAGCCGACGAUCCAUAGCUGGUUUGAGAGGAUGAUCAGCCACACUGGGACUGAGACACGGCCCAGACUCCUACGGGAGGCAGCAGUGGGGAAUCUUAGACAAUGGGGGCAACCCUGAUCUAGCCAUGCCGCGUGAGUGAUGAAGGCCUGAGGGUUGUAAAGCUCUUUCAGCUGGGAAGAUAAUGACGGUACCAGCAGAAGAAGCCCCGGCUAACUCCGUG
RNAcentral lists this ribosomal RNA (433 nucleotides) under uncultured bacterium. RNAcentral describes it as "partial 16S ribosomal RNA". It matches the Rfam family "Bacterial small subunit ribosomal RNA", at positions 29 to 507 of the family's 1533-position model. The record is from RNAcentral.